RNAcentral lists this ribosomal RNA (253 nucleotides) under uncultured bacterium. Its description in RNAcentral is "partial 16S ribosomal RNA". It matches the Rfam family "Bacterial small subunit ribosomal RNA", at positions 524 to 776 of the family's 1533-position model. The record is from RNAcentral.
UACGUAGGGUGCGAGCGUUAAUCGGAAUUACUGGGCGUAAAGCGUGCGUAGGCGGCUUUGCAAGCCAGAUGUGAAAUCCCCGGGCUUAACCUGGGAAUGGCAUUUGGGACUGCAAGGCUCGAGUGCGGCAGAGGAGACUGGAAUUCCCGGUGUAGCGGUGGAAUGCGUAGAGAUCGGGAAGAACAUCAGUGGCGAAGGCGGUCUGCUGGGCCGUUGCUGACGCUGAGGCGCGACAGCGUGGGGAGCAAACAGG